This 254-nucleotide ribosomal RNA is filed under the name uncultured prokaryote. Its description in RNAcentral is "partial 16S ribosomal RNA". It matches the Rfam family "Bacterial small subunit ribosomal RNA", at positions 524 to 777 of the family's 1533-position model. The record is from RNAcentral.
UACGGAGGAUGCAAGCGUUAUCCGGAUUCAUUGGGUUUAAAGGGUGCGUAGGCGGUCUAUUAAGUCAGUGGUGAAAGCCUGCAGCUUAACUGCAGAACUGCCAUUGAUACUGAUAGUCUUGAGUUUGGUUAAGGUAGGCGGAAUGUGUAAUGUAGCGGUGAAAUGCUUAGGUAUUACACAGAACACCAAUUGCGUAGGCAGCUUACUGAGCCGACACUGACGCUGAGGCACGAAAGCGUGGGGAUCGAACAGGA